GAUGCUCUAUGCGUGAGCUGGCCUGGCUGGGGCCCCAAAGCCCCGUCGUCUGAGCUUUGCUGACGCAGCUUUUUCUUCGCUUAGCAAAAGCUAUAUGCUUUCCUUGACGGUCUUUGGUCGCAUCCGCUGUUACUGAGUCAGUUACGAACCUACAGUAGGACUCUGCCAUCGCCGCUCCUUUUGCGAGAAACAAUUGACUCCCCACGAAACCACUUGUAAGUGUAACAUCCGACAUGGGUCAGAGAGGGUCAGAAUAUAUAAAACACGUGAAGGUGAAGGAGGACAUCAAGGAGCGCCAACAACAUUGUCUUUCAUCGUAAAAAGGGCCUCCAGAUCGAACUUGACUUGAAGGAGACCCAGGCGGAGAAGAAAGGAGGCGGAGAGAAGAGAAAAACAUCGUAAGCAUCAGCUCCAUCCAGUGAUCCACAUUCUGCCCAAAGCUUGGACACACCACUUCGGUGGCUUGGUUUUAUUGACUUGACUUGAUUCACUUUUCAUACCAAAAUUUGAUUGCAUAAAAGAACCACUAAUCUAUGUAAUCUAAUAGCUGUAAGCUGCCGAUGAAGAUGAACCCAGAUAACACAUAGGUUAAUACAGGCCCGUCGACUCGGAAUACAUUUUUUAAUUGUCGUUGGGUGAACCGAUUAAAAGAAAAAUUUGACCCUGACAAAACAAAAAUCGUGAUGCAAUUUUGUGGGGAUGUGACAAUUUCGCAAAAUGCCACAAAAAGCACA
Molecule: long non-coding RNA, 734 nt
Organism: Drosophila miranda
Lineage: Eukaryota; Metazoa; Arthropoda; Insecta; Diptera; Drosophilidae
Exons: 4
Source: RefSeq, a predicted model, not a curated record